GGUCGGUUCUUCUCUCCAGUUCCGCCUCCAUCAAAACCCUAAGAUGCAAAUUCUUCCGAACAAGAAGAAGAAUAUCUAAUCAGUUGGAGCUAGAUUCGUUCAAUUGGUCUUAUGUUUCAUUGAAGCCUUCAACUGUGAUAGUGAUUCUUGAGUUGAAGGUCAGAGAAGACUAAUAGCGCAGUGCAUCAAGUGGACUUGUAGGAAUAUUGUCGUUCUUGCUUGGUUCAGGAUACUGAUAUUUUGUGGAUACAUGUGGAUUUUGGCAAUUCCUCUCUGUAAUGCAGUUAAGCUACUGAUUUUCUGGGUUGUAGCAACAACAAGAUAAGUUGCUCUUGGAUUUUACUUUGAGCACUCUUAAAGUAGCUUUGAAUUGUGGAUGAAGAUUGAUUAAUGAAGUUUAUGAUAAAUGAAUGUGUUGUGCAGUUUCUUUGAGCUAUUCAAAUUGUUACAGUGAAGAGGUGAUGAUGAACAUAUAUUGAACUGGGUAUAAGAAACAAGGAGCAACAUUCAAGUCUAAUGGCAAUACAAAUAUUACACCAAACCAAAUGAGGGCAUUUAAGAGUACUGCUUGUUGAAUGGUCUGAACUCUGAUGCAACACCAAAUGGGUAUUCUACCAGUAGAUCACUAGAGGAUAUUCUUCUGUUGGAUCCGCAAACUGCACCUCUGGUUCCACCACUAAAUAUCAGUAGGAAGGGAGAAGUGGUUUAUUGUGUUGAUGGUUCCCAUCAGGUCAGCAAUCUUCUGCAGCAAGCUCUCCUCCUCAUGGGCGUCCUGUACCAGUUCUGUAACAAGAUCCACAGUUAACCAAAGCUCAUAUUUUUUAUAAAAUGCAUGGAUGAAACUGAAGGGCUGUCAGUAAAUACAUUAUUUAUUAACCACGAGCUGUACCAGCAGUGAUCUUUCCAUUUUGGUUCCUGCUAGUUUUAGUUGAUAGAAACUGCCAGUUCUGCCGUUUCGAAGCGUAACUCAAAAUGGCUGCCUUGGCUGAAACAAAUGUUGGCGUUUUCGUUUAGAUGUUUUUUUCUUCUUUCUUACUCUAUAAGAAGAAUGGCCUCAACGUAACUUAGUUACUUAUGUGCUUUACUAUGUUCAGUGCGCACUCCUCAAAUUGAUAGGAAGGAGAUAUUCCGCCAAGCCAGGUCUGACUACUACGGGGUUCAGUUCUUAGUCACGAUUUUUAUUGACAAUUUCGAAAGUUUACAACUAUACGAAAUUGUGGAUAUUUAGAACUGCAUGAGUACUUUGUCUUAUGAGAAGUUCAGUGCAUUUCUUUCCAACAUCAAGGAGCUGAACUGUCAAAAUCAAACUCGAGAGGAAACGUUAAGGAAGGCAGAAUAAUUAUUUGGUACAGACAUGAGAUAACAAAGAUCAUUACUUAUCACUCCAAGGGAUGCUUAUUCGUAACAACCAUUAGGACUUAAAGGCGUAUUCCAAAGAUGGUGCAUCAUAAUAGAAUUGCGCAAAAGAAGCCAAAGAAACCAAACUGGCACCUUCUAAUAAUUGAAAAGGUUGGAAAUUUGGGAUACGAAGAGAUUGAAUGGGAGUAAAAGAGAAGUUGUUGCUAGUCACUGGGUACACCAUUCUCUCUAUCGUGUUACAUGAUCUGAUACCAUUAGUUGUUACUCCCAACCGUCCAAGCCGCCAUCUAGUGUAUAUUUGUUGGUUCAUGUAUGUUGUGUAACCUUUACAGUGGAUUACAAGUUUAACUAAAUGGAAUAUGUCCGAUUUUUUCCAAA
Papaver somniferum (opium poppy) is the source of this 1737-nucleotide long non-coding RNA. RefSeq lists it as uncharacterized. The transcript has 6 exons. The record is from RefSeq and is a predicted model, not a curated record. Lineage: Eukaryota; Viridiplantae; Streptophyta; Magnoliopsida; Ranunculales; Papaveraceae.